UGUUCAAGUCCCUCUAUCCCCAA
Molecule: transfer RNA, 23 nt
Filed under: Pimelea poppelwellii
Lineage: Eukaryota; Viridiplantae; Streptophyta; Magnoliopsida; Malvales; Thymelaeaceae
Description: partial tRNA-Leu
Source: RNAcentral